This 268-nucleotide unclassified non-coding RNA is filed under the name Hevea brasiliensis (rubber tree). Lineage: Eukaryota; Viridiplantae; Streptophyta; Magnoliopsida; Malpighiales; Euphorbiaceae. The record is from RNAcentral.
CAAAUUUAACAAAAAAAUUAAAAAGAGAAAAAAGUACUGGAAGUUGUACAGUGUGGAGAAUAAGAGGAGGCAAAAAAAUAAGGAAAAAAAUAAAAAAUAAAAAUAAAGGGCUGGAAGUUUGGUAUGUGGCGCAGCGUGAAGACUGAAGAGAAUUAGAGAAGAAGGAGAUAAAAGAAAAUAAAAAUUAAAAAAAAGAACACUGGUUGCAGCAGCGUGAGAUUGAGAGGAGAAGAGAGUAGAAGAAGAGUAGAUGAGAGAGAGAGAGAGA